CCUACGGGAGGCUGCAGUGAGGAAUAUUGGUCAAUGGUCGGGAGACUGAACCAGCCAAGCCGCGUGAGGGAUGAAGGUAUAGAGUAUCGUAAACCUCUUUUGUCAGGGAACAAAGGCGGGGACGUGUCCCCGGAUGAGUGUACCUGAAGAAAAAGCAUCGGCUAACUCCGUUCCAGCAGCCGCGGUAAUACGGAGGAUGCGAGCGUUAUCCGGAUUUAUUGGGUUUAAAGGGUGCGCAGGCGGUCUGUUAAGUCAGCGGUAAAAGCCCGGGGCUCAACCCCGGCCCGCCGUUGAAACUGGCAGUCUCGAGUUGGAGAGAAGUAUGCGGAAUGCGCGGUGUAGCGGUGAAAUGCAGAGAUAUCGCGCAGAACUCCGAUUGCGAAGGCAGCAUGCCGGCUCCACACUGACGCUGAGGCACGAAAGCGUGGGUAUCGAACAGGAUUAGAUACCCUAGUAGUC
Molecule: ribosomal RNA, 459 nt
Filed under: uncultured bacterium
Lineage: Bacteria
Description: partial 16S ribosomal RNA
Rfam family: Bacterial small subunit ribosomal RNA
Source: RNAcentral